CCUACGGGUGGCAGCAGUGAGGAAUAUUGGUCAAUGGACGCAAGUCUGAUCCAGCCAUGCCGCGUGCAGGAAGACGGCUCUAUGAGUUGUAAACUGCUUUUGUACGAGGGUAAACGGAGAUACGCGUAUCUGUCUGAAAGUAUCGUACGCAUAAGGAACGGCUAACUCCGUGCCAGCAGCCGCGGUAAUACGGAGGAUUCAAGCGUUAUCCGGAUUUAUUGGGUUGAAAGGGUGCGUAGGCGGUCGGAUAAGUUAGAGGUGAAAUCCCGAGGCUCAACUUCGGAAUUGCAUCUGAUACUGUGCGGCUAGAGAGUAGUAGCGGUAGGCGGAAUGUAUGGUGUAGCGGUGAAAUGCUUAGAGAUCAGACAGAACACCGGUUGCGAAGGCAGCUUACCAAGCUACUUCUGACGUUGAGGCACGAAAGCGUGGGGAGCAAACAGGAUUAGAUACCCCAGUAGUC
RNAcentral lists this ribosomal RNA (460 nucleotides) under uncultured bacterium. Its description in RNAcentral is "partial 16S ribosomal RNA". It matches the Rfam family "Bacterial small subunit ribosomal RNA", at positions 338 to 795 of the family's 1533-position model. The record is from RNAcentral.